This 403-nucleotide ribosomal RNA is filed under the name Verrucomicrobiota bacterium. RNAcentral's name for it is "Verrucomicrobia bacterium partial 16S ribosomal RNA". It matches the Rfam family "Bacterial small subunit ribosomal RNA", at positions 355 to 776 of the family's 1533-position model. The record is from RNAcentral. Lineage: Bacteria; Pseudomonadati; Verrucomicrobiota.
UGGGGAAUAUUGCACAAUGGGCGCAAGCCUGAUGCAGCAACGCCGCGUGAACGAUGAAGGUCUUCGGAUCGUAAAGUUCUGUUGCAGGGGAAGAUAAUGACGGUACCCUGUGAGGAAGCCCCGGCUAACUACGUGCCAGCAGCCGCGGUAAUACGUAGGGGGCUAGCGUUAUCCGGAUUUACUGGGCGUAAAGGGUGCGUAGGUGGUCUUUCAAGUCGGUGGUUAAAGGCUACGGCUCAACCGUAGUUAGCCUCCGAAACUGGAAGACUUGAGUGCAGGAGAGUAAAGUGGAAUUCCCAGUGUAGCGGUGAAAUGCGUAGAUAUUGGGAGGAACACCAGUAGCGAAGGCGGCUUUCUGGACUGCAACUGACACUGAGGCACGAAAGCGUGGGUAGCAAACAGG